UUUUGUAAAACUUCACACAGUUGUAUUCCUUCGCAGCGGAUCAGGAUGGUAGUUGACUUUUGGAAGUUUGUUUUCAACCCCGUUCUCUCUCCAAACAUCUUCAAGAUGUGGACCAACGCGUCUAUCUCCUCUUUUCUUGGUGCAAAGAACAUCACCGCAUCGUCAGCAUACAUCGAUAUACAGCAGCACGGUGCACGUCCACAUAGCUUGCCA
RNAcentral lists this long non-coding RNA (213 nucleotides) under Setaria italica (foxtail millet). RNAcentral describes it as "long non-coding RNA (SITA_LNC001934)". The record is from RNAcentral. Lineage: Eukaryota; Viridiplantae; Streptophyta; Magnoliopsida; Poales; Poaceae.